UACGAAGGGGGCUAGCGUUGUUCGGAUUUACUGGGCGUAAAGCGCACGUAGGCGGAUCGUUAAGUCGGGGGUGAAAUCCUGGAGCUCAACUCCAGAACUGCCUUCGAUACUGGCGAUCUCGAGUCCGGAAGAGGUGAGUGGAACUCCUAGUGUAGAGGUGGAAUUCGUAGAUAUUAGGAAGAACACCAGUGGCGAAGGCGACUCACUGGUCCGGUACUGACGCUGAGGUGCGAAAGCGUGGGGAGCGAACAGG
RNAcentral lists this ribosomal RNA (253 nucleotides) under uncultured bacterium. RNAcentral describes it as "partial 16S ribosomal RNA". It matches the Rfam family "Bacterial small subunit ribosomal RNA", at positions 524 to 776 of the family's 1533-position model. The record is from RNAcentral.